This 253-nucleotide ribosomal RNA is filed under the name uncultured bacterium. RNAcentral's name for it is "partial 16S ribosomal RNA". It matches the Rfam family "Bacterial small subunit ribosomal RNA", at positions 524 to 776 of the family's 1533-position model. The record is from RNAcentral.
UACGUAGGGUGCAAGCGUUAAUCGGAAUUACUGGGCGUAAAGCGUGCGCAGGCGGUUGUGCAAGACCGAUGUGAAAUCCCCGGGCUCAACCUGGGAAUGGCAUUGGUGACUGCACGGCUAGAGUGUGUUAGAGGGGGGUAGAAUUCCACGUGUAGCAGUGAAAUGCGUAGAGAUGUGGAGGAGUACCGAUGGCGAAGGCAGCCCCCUGGGAUAACACUGACGCUCAUGCACGAAAGCGUGGGGAGCAAACAGG